Molecule: ribosomal RNA, 301 nt
Filed under: uncultured bacterium
Lineage: Bacteria
Description: partial 16S ribosomal RNA
Rfam family: Bacterial small subunit ribosomal RNA
Source: RNAcentral
CAGUCGCCGCGGUAAUACGAAGGGUGCAAGCGUUAAUCGGAAUUACUGGGCGUAAAGCGUGCGUAGGCGGUGAGUUAAGUCUGCUGUGAAAUCCCCGGGCUCAACCUGGGAAUGGCAGUGGAUACUGGCUUGCUAGAGUGUGUCAGAGGAUGGUGGAAUUCCCGGUGUAGCGGUGAAAUGCGUAGAGAUCGGGAGGAACAUCAGUGGCGAAGGCGGCCAUCUGGGACAACACUGACGCUGAGGCACGAAAGCGUGGGGAGCAAACAGGAUUAGAUACCCCCGUAGUCCCUGUCUCUUAUAC